UCGAACGGUAACAUGGCUAGCUUGCUAGCUGAUGACGAGUGGCGGACGGGUGAGUAACGCGUAGGAAUCUACCUAUUAGUGGGGGACAACCUGGUGAAAACCAGGCUAAUACCGCAUACGCCCUACGGGGGAAAGCAGGGGAUCUUCGGACCUUGCGCUAUUAGAUGAGCCUGCGUUAGAUUAGCUUGUUGGUGAGGUAAUGGCUCACCAAGGCGACGAUCUAUAGCUGGUCUGAGAGGAUGAUCAGCCACACCGGGACUGAGACACGGCCCAGACUCCUACGGGAGGCAGCAGUGGGGAAUAUUGCGCAAUGGGCGAAAGCCUGACGCAGCCAUACCGCGUGUGUGAAGAAGGGUUUAGGCUCGUAAAGCACUUUAAGUAGGGAGGAAGGCCUGUAAAUUAAUACUUUGCAGGAUUGACGUUACCUACAGAAUAAGCACCGGCUAACUCCGUGCCAGCAGCCGCGGUAAUACGGAGGGUGCAAGCGUUAAUCGGAAUUACUGGGCGUAAAGCGCGCGUAGGCGGUUUGUUAAGCGAGAUGUGAAAGCCCAGGGCUCAACCUUGGAACUGCAUUUCGAACUGGCAGGCUAGAGUACAAGAGAGGGUGGUAGAAUUUCCUGUGUAGCGGUGAAAUGCGUAGAUAUAGGAAGGAAUACCAGUGGCGAAGGCGGCCACCUGGCUUGAUACUGACGCUGAGGUGCGAAAGCGUGGGGAGCGAACAGGAUUAGAU
RNAcentral lists this ribosomal RNA (730 nucleotides) under uncultured Gammaproteobacteria bacterium. RNAcentral's name for it is "bacterial SSU rRNA". It matches the Rfam family "Bacterial small subunit ribosomal RNA", at positions 62 to 783 of the family's 1533-position model. The record is from RNAcentral. Lineage: Bacteria; Pseudomonadati; Pseudomonadota; Gammaproteobacteria.